RNAcentral lists this ribosomal RNA (443 nucleotides) under uncultured bacterium. RNAcentral describes it as "partial 16S ribosomal RNA". It matches the Rfam family "Bacterial small subunit ribosomal RNA", at positions 338 to 795 of the family's 1533-position model. The record is from RNAcentral.
CCUACGGGAGGCAGCAGUGGGGAAUAUUGGGCAAUGGAGGAAACUCUGACCCAGCAACGCCGCGUGAAUGAUGAAGGCUUUCGGAUUGUAAAGUUCUUUUGUCAGGGAAGAGGAAAGUGACGUUCCUUUAGGAAUAACCCCCGCCUAACUACGUGCCGGCAGCCGCGGUAAACCGUAGGGGGCGAGCGUUGUCCGGAUUGCCGGGGGGUAAAGGGGGCGUAGGGGGGCUGACAAGUCAGUGGUGAAUCCCGAGGGCUCAACCCCGGAACUGCAUUUAAAACUGUUGGUCUUGAGUACCGGAGAGGCAGGCGGAAUUCCUAGUGUAGCGGUGAAAUGCGUAGAUAUUAGGAGGAACACCAGUGGCGAAGGCGGGCUGCUGGACGACAACUGACGGUGAGGCGCGAAGGCGUGGGGAGCAAACAGGAUUAGAUACCCUUGUAGUC